This 299-nucleotide ribosomal RNA is filed under the name uncultured bacterium. Its description in RNAcentral is "partial 16S ribosomal RNA". It matches the Rfam family "Bacterial small subunit ribosomal RNA", at positions 335 to 616 of the family's 1533-position model. The record is from RNAcentral.
ACUCCUACGGGAGGCAGCAGUGGGGAAUAUUGCACAAUGGGAAGGCCAUCCGAUGCAGCCAUGCCCGCGCUGUGUGAAGAAGGCCAAUUCGGGCUUUGGUUAAAGACACUUUCAGUAGGGAGGAAGGUAGUGUAGUUAACACCUGCAUUAUUUGACGUUACCUACAGAAGAAGCACCGGCUAACUCCGUGCCAGCAGCCGCGGUAAUACGGAGGGUGCGAGCGUUAAUCGGAAUUACUGGGCGUAAAGCGCAUGCAGGUGGUUUGUUAAGUCAGAUGUGAAAGCCCGGGCUCAAGCCUC